GCUUCCAUAGCUCAGUUGGCUAGAGCAGCUGAUUUGUAAUCAGCAGGUCGUGGGUUCGAGUCCCUCUGGAAGCU
Molecule: transfer RNA, 74 nt
Filed under: Chryseobacterium sp. Leaf404
Lineage: Bacteria; Pseudomonadati; Bacteroidota; Flavobacteriia; Flavobacteriales; Weeksellaceae
Also listed under: 3 other names
Rfam family: tRNA
About the family: Transfer RNA (tRNA) molecules are approximately 80 nucleotides in length. Their secondary structure includes four short double-helical elements and three loops (D, anti-codon, and T loops). Further hydrogen bonds mediate the characteristic L-shaped molecular structure. tRNAs have two regions of fundamental functional importance: the anti-codon, which is responsible for specific mRNA codon recognition, and the 3' end, to which the tRNAs corresponding amino acid is attached (by aminoacyl-tRNA synthetases). tRNAs cope with the degeneracy of the genetic code in two manners: having more than one tRNA (with a specific anti-codon) for a particular amino acid; and 'wobble' base-pairing, i.e. permitting non-standard base-pairing at the 3rd anti-codon position.
Source: Rfam by way of RNAcentral